GGAGGUCCUGCUCAGCUGACCAGGUUCCAAAACCACAGAGUUGUGUGAAACUGUGUUCACUUCACGUACCUGCGUAUUUCUGUGGAAGAGAGAAACAGGCAUAGCAGCUCCAGUUUUCAUCUAACUUUGGAGAUACCAGAAACGUUUGGACUAAAACGAUAAUUAGAGGGAAUAGGCUCCAUGAUUGGUAAUGUAUCACAGAACUCAUCCAAGGCACCUCACUGGAAUCUAUGCAGAAUGAACUAACACUGCUACAAUAGAGGUCUACCACAAUGACUCUGGUCUGAAAGGUGAUGACAGGCUGUUUGUGGAUUCCUGCCUGCUGCCGCUGAACUCCUCACCUGCCCAACACAAGGACAUUCCCUUAAGACUCUUUCCAGCACAGUCUGGAAAGCCUGAUCAUCAUUUAG
This 410-nucleotide long non-coding RNA is filed under the name Calidris pugnax (ruff). RNAcentral's name for it is "lncRNA (ENSCPUG00000013037.1)". The record is from RNAcentral. Lineage: Eukaryota; Metazoa; Chordata; Aves; Charadriiformes; Scolopacidae.